Molecule: non-coding RNA, 347 nt
Organism: Nicotiana tabacum (common tobacco)
Lineage: Eukaryota; Viridiplantae; Streptophyta; Magnoliopsida; Solanales; Solanaceae
Source: RefSeq, a predicted model, not a curated record
AAGAGGAAAGGGCAUUGCGGACUAGUCUGCGGUCGGUUAGAGAUCCAGGGCAAUAUCAGGCAGUUGAUCAAUGGAUCCAGCAUUUUGGGGAAUAUCAAGGAAGUUGUACGGCGUUCGCAGCAUUGAUUUCUUCCCUCCUAUCCUAUCUUUUUUUUAUUUCCGCAUUAUUAGACUUUGGAUACACUAUGUAUUAGGAUGAUAUUCUGUACUCUAGAGGCUCAGAUUCGUGACGCCGGGUCCUAGUGAGAUUAUGUUGUGUAUUUUGUUAAACUCUUCAGUACUUUGAUCUUGAAUUAAUUGAUAUUUCCAUCCGCUAUUUUUGAUAAAUUGGGUUAAGUGUUGAAUAA